Non-coding RNA from Hordeum vulgare subsp. vulgare (domesticated barley), 42 nucleotides. Lineage: Eukaryota; Viridiplantae; Streptophyta; Magnoliopsida; Poales; Poaceae. The record is from Rfam.
CGUAACAAGGUUUCCGUAGGUGAACCUGCGGAAGGAUCAUUG